CUGCCCCGGGCGCGUCGCAGCCCCGGACCAAGGCGCCCGCCGGAGGACCAACCCAAACUCUUAUUUGUACACCCCCUCGCGGGUUUGUUUUUUUUACUGUCUGAGCCACCUCGGCGCCCCUCGCGGGCGUUCCGAAAAAGAAUCAAAACUUUCAACAACGGAUCUCUUGGUUCUGGCAUCGAUGAAGAACGCAGCGAAAUGCGAAAAGUAAUGAAGAAUUGCAGAAUUCAGGGAAUCAUCGAAUCUUUGAACGCACAUUGCGCCCGCCAGUAUUCUGGCGGGCAUGCCUGUCCGAGCGUCAUUUCAACCCUCGAACCCCUCCGGGGGGUCGGCGUUGGGGAUCGGCCCUUUCACCGGGGCCGGCCCCGAAAUGCAGUGGCGGUCUCGCCGCAGCCUCUCCUGCGCAGUAGUUUGCACACUCGCACCGGGAGCGCGGCGCGUCCAAUGCCGAAAAACACCCAACUUUCUGAAAUGUUGACCUCGGAUCAGGUAG
Molecule: ribosomal RNA, 493 nt
Filed under: Trichoderma estonicum
Lineage: Eukaryota; Fungi; Ascomycota; Sordariomycetes; Hypocreales; Hypocreaceae
Description: eukaryotic LSU rRNA
Rfam family: 5.8S ribosomal RNA (bases 147-301)
Source: RNAcentral